RNAcentral lists this transfer RNA (67 nucleotides) under Craugastor talamancae (Almirante robber frog). RNAcentral's name for it is "tRNA-Ile". The record is from RNAcentral. Lineage: Eukaryota; Metazoa; Chordata; Amphibia; Anura; Craugastoridae.
GGAAACGUGCCUGACAAAAGGACCUCCUUGAUAGGGAGGAUAAUAGGGGCUAAUUCCCCUCGCUUCC